GAUGAAGAACGUAGCGAAAUGCGAUACGUAAUGUGAAUUGCAGAAUUCAGUGAAUCAUCGAAUCUUUGAACGCAUAUUGCGCUCUCUGGUAUUUCGGAGAGCAUGCUUGUUUGAGUAUCAGUAAACACCUCAACUUCCAUAUCUUUUUUGAAAUGGGAGUUGGACUUGAGUGAUCCCAACGCUUUUCCUCACCGAAAAGUGGCGGGUUACUUGAAAUGCAGGUGCAGCUGGACUUUUCUCUGAGCUAUAAGCAUAUCUAUUUAGUCUGCCUAAAAAACAGAUUAUUACCUUUGCUGCAGCUAACAUAAAGGAGAUUAGUUCUUGUGCUGACUGAUGCAGGAUUCACAAAGACAGGCUUCGGCCGACUUUGUAAACUCGAUCUCAAAUCAAGUAAGACUACCCGCUGAACUUAAGCAUAUCAAUAAGCGGAGGA
This 433-nucleotide unclassified non-coding RNA is filed under the name soil metagenome. Its description in RNAcentral is "partial contains 5.8S ribosomal RNA, internal transcribed spacer 2, and large subunit ribosomal RNA". The stretch from base 1 to 120 matches the Rfam family "5.8S ribosomal RNA", at positions 35 to 154 of the family's 154-position model. The record is from RNAcentral.